Molecule: long non-coding RNA, 467 nt
Organism: Populus euphratica (Euphrates poplar)
Lineage: Eukaryota; Viridiplantae; Streptophyta; Magnoliopsida; Malpighiales; Salicaceae
Exons: 3
Source: RefSeq, a predicted model, not a curated record
AAUCUCAUUUUAUAUAUACAUAAAUAAAAAUAAAAAGUUCAGAGCAUGGCAUGGAAAACUCCUUGAAUGAUAAUGCUGCGAAUCCCUCCUGCUCUUGUAAAAGCAAGGCAUUUUUAGGCACUGAUACUCAUCAUUACAAUACAACUCCUGUACACAGGAAACGCAAAAGCUCAGCUGGCCUGUAUUGUAAUGGCGCAGAAGGCUGCCUGCCAUGCUCGCGUUUCAAUUUCCCAAAAAGCAGAUAAGUUAGCCUCUGAAAGAUGUAACUGGUGUACAGUGCGAUGUAUCUCCAUCAUUGCAAAACCACAACUGGAUAUGCUGGAAAAGGAGCUGCUGCUGGAUUAGCCUCACUUUCCCAACUGAGUUAAUAUCCUGCUUAUCAAAACUUCCUUCUUCCCUGUAACAGGAAGAUUGUGCGCUGUCAAGUAAUACUUCAGCUCCGUUACUGUCAAGUCCUUCAACUGCAA